CAGUCGCCACGGUAAAACGGAGGGUGCAAGCGUUAAUCGGAAUUACUGGGCGUAAAGCGCACGCAGGCGGUCUGACAAGUCAGAUGUGAAAUCCCCGGGCUUAACCUGGGAACUGCAUUUGAAACUGUCAGGCUGGAGUCUUGUAGAGGGGGGUGGAAUUCCAGGUGUAGCGGUGAAAUGCGUAGAGAUCUGGAGGAAUACCGGUGGCGAAGGCGGCCCCCUGGACAAAGACUGACGCUCAGGUGCGAAAGCGUGGGGAGCAAACAGGAUUAGAUACCCGCGUAGUCCCUGUCUCUUAUAA
RNAcentral lists this ribosomal RNA (301 nucleotides) under uncultured bacterium. RNAcentral's name for it is "partial 16S ribosomal RNA". It matches the Rfam family "Bacterial small subunit ribosomal RNA", at positions 509 to 809 of the family's 1533-position model. The record is from RNAcentral.